Molecule: ribosomal RNA, 583 nt
Filed under: uncultured bacterium
Lineage: Bacteria
Description: partial 16S ribosomal RNA
Rfam family: Bacterial small subunit ribosomal RNA
Source: RNAcentral
UGGGGAAUUUUGGACAAUGGGCGAAAGCCUGAUCCAGCAAUGCCGCGUGUGUGAAGAAGGCCUUCGGGUUGUAAAGCACUUUUGUCCGGAAAGAAAUCCUUGGCUCUAAUACAGUCGGGGGAUGACGGUACCGGAAGAAUAAGCACCGGCUAACUACGUGCCAGCAGCCGCGGUAAUACGUAGGGUGCAAGCGUUAAUCGGAAUUACUGGGCGUAAAGCGUGCGCAGGCGGUUUGCUAAGACCGAUGUGAAAUCCCCGGGCUCAACCUGGGAACUGCAUUGGUGACUGGCAGGCUAGAGUAUGGCAGAGGGGGUAGAAUUCCACGUGUAGCAGUGAAAUGCGUAGAGAUGUGGAGGAAUACCGAUGGCGAAGGCAGCCCCCUGGGCCAAUACUGACGCUCAUGCACGAAAGCGUGGGGAGCAAACAGGAUUAGAUACCCUGGUAGUCCACGCCCUAAACGAUGUCAACUAGUUGUUGGGGAUUCAUUCCUUAGUAACGUAGCUAACGCGUGAAGUUGACCGCCUGGGGAGUACGGUCGCAAGAUUAAAACUUAAAUGAAUUGACGGGGUCAUAGCUGUUUCCU